AAAUCUUAGCGGUGGAUCACUCGGUUCGUGGAUCGAUGAAGAACGCAGCUAGCUGCGAUAAAUAGUGCGAAUUGCAGACACAUUGAGCACUAAAAUUUCGAACGCACAUUGCGCCAUCGGGUUCAUUCCCGUUGGCACGUCUGGCUGAGGGUCA
Ribosomal RNA from Toxocara canis (dog roundworm), 154 nucleotides. It matches the Rfam family "5.8S ribosomal RNA". From Rfam's summary of the family: 5.8S ribosomal RNA (5.8S rRNA) is a component of the large subunit of the eukaryotic ribosome. It is transcribed by RNA polymerase I as part of the 45S precursor that also contains 18S and 28S rRNA. Lineage: Eukaryota; Metazoa; Nematoda; Chromadorea; Rhabditida; Toxocaridae. The record is from Rfam.